RNAcentral lists this long non-coding RNA (2933 nucleotides) under Salmo salar (Atlantic salmon). RNAcentral's name for it is "lncRNA (ENSSSAG00000087905.1)". The record is from RNAcentral. Lineage: Eukaryota; Metazoa; Chordata; Actinopteri; Salmoniformes; Salmonidae.
AUAUAUGUCACGUCUGUCCGAAGAAGAAGAAUGGGACCAAGGCGCAGCGUGUGUAUCCUUCCACAUUUUAUUAUAACUGUGAAACGAUGCAAGACAUACAAAUAAACUAAUAAACAAAAACAACAAACCGUGACGAAGAGGUGCAACAUGCACUAACUCAAAAUAAUCUCCCACAAACCCAGGUGGGAAAAACAUCUACUUAAAUAUGAUCCCCAAUUAGAGACAACGAUGACCAGCUGCUCUAAUUGGAGAUCAUCCCAAAAAAACAGUCUUUAGCGAUUUUUAGGGUCUUCCUCUGACAUCGCCUGGUAUAGAGAGGUCCUGGAUGGCAGGAUGCUUGGCCCCAGUGAUGUACUGGGCCGUACGCACUACCCUCUGUAGUGUCUUGUGGUCGGAGGCUGAGCAGUUGCCAUACCAGGCAGCAAAGUAACCAGUCAGGAUGCUCUUGAUGGUGUAGCUGUAGAACUUUUUUGAGGAUCUGAGGACCAAUAAUACAUCUUUGAGUCAAUGAGAAUGGGGGUGUGCUAGGCCCUCCUUCUCCUGUAGUCAACGAUCAUCUCUUUGGUCUUGAUCACUUUGAGGGAAAGGUUGUUAUCCUGACACCAGACUGCCAGGUCUCUGACCUCCUCCCUAUAGUCUGUACCACUGUUGUGUCGUCGGCAAACUUAAUGAUGUUGUUGUAGUCAUGCUUGGCUACGCAGUCAUGGGUGAACAGGGAGUACAGGAGGGGACUGAGCACGCACCACUGAGUGGUGGAUCAGCCUGUUGAGGAUCAGCGUGGCAGAUGUGUUGUUACCUACCCUUACCACCUGGGGGCGGCCCGUCAGGAAGUCCAGGAUCCAGUUGCAGAGGGAGGUGUUUAGUCCCAGGAUCCUUAGCUUAUUGAUGAGCUUUGUGGGCACUAUGGUGUUGAACACUGAACUGUAGUCAAUGAAUAACAUUCUCACAUAGGUGUUCCUUUUGUCCAGGUGGGAAAGGGCAGUGUGGAGUGCAAUAGAGAUUACAUCCUCUGUGGAUCUGUUGGGGCGGUAUGCAAAUUGGAGUGGGUUUAGGGUUUCUGGGAUAAUGGUGUUGAUGUGAGCCAUGACCAGCCUUUCAAAGCAUUUCAUGGCUACAGACGUGAGUGUUACGGGUCGGUAGUCAUUUAGGCAGGUUGCCUUGGUGUUCUUGGGCACAGGGACUAUGGUGGUCUGCUUGAAACAUGUUUGUAUUACAGACUUAGUCAGGGAAAGGUUGAAAAUAUCAGGGAAGACCCUUGCCAGUUGGUCAGCGCAUGCUCGGAGUACACGUCCUGGUGAUCCGUGUGGCCCUGCGGCCUUGUGAAUGUUGACCUGUUUAAAGGUCUUACUCACAUCGGCUACGGAGAGCGUGAUGUCACAGUCGUCCAGAACAGCUGGUCUUACCGGGAUCCGACACAUAACGAAAAAAAACAAAACAAUACAGACAAAAUUCUUUAUUUCCAUCCAUUUAAAUCAUUAACAUGUAGCGUGUCUAUGCAUCUAUCAGUUCCACAUACAUGUCAGUACAUACACACAACACGUAGCUCGCAUGGGGGAGAGGCAUUGUGCUGAGAGGUGUUGCUUUUUGGGGGAGGGAAACCAGGUUUGCUGUAUGAGAUGGAAGAGACUUCCAUGCACUCAUGGCUCAGUAUAAUACUGUAUGUUUCCUUGAAUUUGUUCUGGACCUGGGAACUGUGAAAAGACCCCUGGUGGCAUGUCUGGUGGGGUAAGUGUGUGUGUGUGUGUCAGUGCUGUGUGUAAGUUGACUAUGCAAACUAUUUGGAAUUUCAAACAUAUUAAUGUGUCUUAUGAAAACAAGAUGAUAGUACUGUAGUAAUGACAGAAUGGUCAACAUAAUAUUAGGUAAUGACAGAAUGGUCAACAUAAUAGUACUGUAGUAAUGACAGAAUGGUAAACAUAAUAGUACUUAAUGACAGAAUGGUCAACACAAUAGUACUGUGGUAAUGACAGAAUGGUCAACAUAAUAGUACUGUAGUAAUGACAGAAUGGUAAUGACAAUAUUUCCUACUUUAACAGACAUUAAAAGCAAGGCGCAGUACAGGAAUGAACUAUUGCAGUCACGUCAUACUCAAACAGUAAAUUAAUGUUCCUUUUUUUGUUAACAGCAUUUUAAACAAAUGACAUUUCUAAUGACAUCGUCACGAUAUAAGUUACUUACCGUAAAGUAACAUAUGUAUCUUAAUAAACGAUAAGACUUAAAGUUGUGCAUUUAUAAAGGCCAGACAACGCCUACCUAUUGGAAUGUCCCCGUUGGCAUGGCAGCGCUCAUAGGGUUGCCAUGAUAUGCAACUCCCACAGCAUCACAUAAAACCACAGGACUAAAGAGGCUCAAUUGCAAAUUAUGAAAAUAAGCAGUAAAUGAACCGUGCUUUCUCUGUACGUACAACCUUUUUGUCAUUUGAUUCCACAAGUACUUCCUUUUGAGCCUUAUUAUUAAGCACCGAUAUGAGUAUUAAAUAUUUCACUGCAGGUGAAAGUGGAUGUUUUAUUAUUCCGUUUCACUGCACAGAGGAUUGAUUUAACACAUGCACGACACAUACACAUACAAUGCAUUCUCCAACGGACAAUUCCCAUUGACUCCCCAUAGUAGCGUCUUCAGCUAACUUCUACCAUCUGGGGAUAGCCGAGCUGUUUGUUCCUGCGUGUUAAGAGUAACUGUAGCUUCUUCUGUCAAUUACGACAAUACACGUGUCUGCUUUUUCCUGCACACUGGUACACUCGCAUUAACAUCUGCUAACCAUGUGUGUGUGACCAAUGACAUUUAAUUUGAUUUGGUAACACUUUCCGUUAAGUGGUCUUCAAGUGUCCUACAUUGUUCUUCCGUAAUUGCCUUUUAAUAGCGUUGUCACGACCUGACCUGAGAGAGACGGUUUAUUUCUCUAUGUGGUUUGGUCAGGGUGUGGGGUGGGCAUU